RNAcentral lists this ribosomal RNA (510 nucleotides) under uncultured bacterium. RNAcentral describes it as "partial 16S ribosomal RNA". It matches the Rfam family "Bacterial small subunit ribosomal RNA", at positions 28 to 507 of the family's 1533-position model. The record is from RNAcentral.
GACGAACGCUGGCGGCGUGCUUAACACAUGCAAGUCGAACGAAGAGCGAUGGAAGCUUGCUUCUAUCAAUCUUAGUGGCGAACGGGUGAGUAACGCGUAAUCAACCUGCCCUUCAGAGGGGGACAACAGUUGGAAACGACUGCUAAUACCGCAUACGAUCUAAUCUCGGCAUCGAGGAUAGAUGAAAGGUGGCCUCUACAUGUAAGCUAUCACUGAAGGAGGGGAUUGCGUCUGAUUAGCUAGUUGGAGGGGUAACGGCCCACCAAGGCGAUGAUCAGUAGCCGGUCUGAGAGGAUGAACGGCCACAUUGGGACUGAGACACGGCCUAGACUCCUACGGGAGGCAGCAGUGGGGAAUCUUCCGCAAUGGACGAAAGUCUGACGGAGCAACGCCGCGUGAGUGAUGACGGCCUUCGGGUUGUAAAGCUCUGUUAAUCGGGACGAAAGGCCUUCUUGCGAACAGUUAGAAGGAUUGACGGUACCGGAAUAGAAAGCCACGGCUAACUACGUG